Non-coding RNA from Pelobates cultripes (western spadefoot toad), 229 nucleotides. The record is from the annotation of a GenBank genome assembly. Lineage: Eukaryota; Metazoa; Chordata; Amphibia; Anura; Pelobatidae.
CCAACGGCAAUCACAGCCAGCACAGUAGAGUCUUGCAGUAUCAAUGGCAGCACAGGAGAUCUGCACAGCAUCAAUGGCAAAGCUGGAAAGCCGGGCUGUAUCAGACGCCUGUCAGGGACCCACUCGCCUGAGUCACUACCGCAUUCUGUGCUAACCAAGCGAGGCCAAAAAGUUUUCUUUGGAUGGAACAUACCAUCUCCCGAAAUCAGGAAGAGCACCUACCUCUGCA